Long non-coding RNA from Vigna unguiculata (cowpea), 416 nucleotides. Lineage: Eukaryota; Viridiplantae; Streptophyta; Magnoliopsida; Fabales; Fabaceae. The record is from RefSeq and is a predicted model, not a curated record.
GCCGACAUGGAUGAUGUUUCCAGGAACAGAUCUGUUUGCCAGAAUACCAUUUCAUGCAGCUCAUACUAUAUUGGAAACAGAUCAAGCGAAGCUUGACUUUGAGUCAAAGAAACUACAGAGCAUUAUGAAGGAAAAAGCUUACCUUCUAUCAGAGUCAGGUGUUCUUGUAGACAAGAUAAGCCCUGGAUUGCUCAAAUCGCUUGUAACCUUAAAUGACAAGUGAAAGUAAGAUGCCUUGACCUGCUAUAUAGUGAGAAAAAGCUUGUCAUUGCAUUGUCAACUGGGUGGAAAAUGUUAGUGUUUUCUGGGAGAAUCUUGAAGCAUUUAGGUUUUCAGUUAUCUAGUCUGUUACUGCAAGUGUGUACAUUUUUUUCCCCAAGUUUAUAUACUAUUAGUACUACACUCAAUCCUAGAAA